This 505-nucleotide ribosomal RNA is filed under the name uncultured bacterium. RNAcentral describes it as "bacterial SSU rRNA". It matches the Rfam family "Bacterial small subunit ribosomal RNA", at positions 1006 to 1509 of the family's 1533-position model. The record is from RNAcentral.
UAGAGUCUUCCCCUUCGGGGGACAAAGUGACAGGUGGUGCAUGGUUGUCGUCAGCUCGUGUCGUGAGAUGUUGGGUUAAGUCCCGCAACGAGCGCAACCCUUAAGCUUAGUUGCCAGCAUUAAGUUGGGCACUCUAAGUUGACUGCCGGUGACAAACCGGAGGAAGAUGGGGAUGACGUCAAAUCAUCAUGCCCCUUAUGAUUUGGGCUACACACGUGCUACAAUGGGCAAUACAAAGGGCAGCUAAACCGCGAGGUCAUGCAAAUCCCAUAAAGUUGUUCUCAGUUCGGAUUGUAGUCUGCAACUCGACUACAUGAAGCUGGAAUCGCUAGUAAUCGUAGAUCAGCAUGCUACGGUGAAUACGUUCCCGGGUCUUGUACACACCGCCCGUCACACCACGAGAGUCUGUAACACCCGAAGCCGGUGGAGUAACCAUUUAUGGAGCUAGCCGUCGAAGGUGGGACAAAUGAUUGGGGUGAAGUCGUAACAAGGUAGCCGUAUCGGA